This 258-nucleotide ribosomal RNA is filed under the name uncultured Glomus. Its description in RNAcentral is "partial 18S ribosomal RNA". It matches the Rfam family "Eukaryotic small subunit ribosomal RNA", at positions 624 to 886 of the family's 1831-position model. The record is from RNAcentral. Lineage: Eukaryota; Fungi; Glomeromycota; Glomeromycetes; Glomerales; Glomeraceae.
AAGCUCGUAGUUGAAUUUCGGGGUUAGUAGGUUGGUCAUGCCUCUGGUAUGUACUGGUCUCACUGAUUCCUCCUUCCUGAUGAACCGUAAUGCCAUUAAUUUGGUGUUGCGGGGAACUUGGACUGUUACUUUGAAAAAAUUAGGGUGUUUAAAGCAAGCUAACGCUUGAAUACAUUAGCAUGGAAUAAUGAAAUAGGACGUUCGAUCCUAUUUUGUUGGUUUCUAGGAUUGACGUAAUGAUUAAUAGGGAUAGUUGGG